This 253-nucleotide ribosomal RNA is filed under the name uncultured bacterium. RNAcentral describes it as "partial 16S ribosomal RNA". It matches the Rfam family "Bacterial small subunit ribosomal RNA", at positions 524 to 776 of the family's 1533-position model. The record is from RNAcentral.
UACAGAGACUGCAAGCGUUAUUCGGAUUCAUUGGGCGUAAAGGGCGCGCAGGCGGCCAAGUGUGUCAGGUGUGAAAUCCCGGAGCUUAACUCCGGAACUGCGCCUGAAACUGCAUGGCUAGAGCAUUGGAGAGGGGAGUGGAAUUCACGGUGUAGCAGUGAAAUGCGUAGAUAUCGUGAGGAACACCAGAGGCGAAGGCGACUUGCUGGACAAUUGCUGACACUCAGGCGCGAAAGCGUGGGUAGCAAAAGGG